RNAcentral lists this ribosomal RNA (253 nucleotides) under uncultured bacterium. Its description in RNAcentral is "partial 16S ribosomal RNA". It matches the Rfam family "Bacterial small subunit ribosomal RNA", at positions 524 to 776 of the family's 1533-position model. The record is from RNAcentral.
UACGGGGGGGGCAAGCGUUGUUCGGAAUUACUGGGCGUAAAGGGCUCGUAGGUGGCCAACUAAGUCAUACGUGAAAUCCCUCGGCUUAACCGGGGAACUGCGUCUGAUACUGGUUGGCUUGAGUUUGGGAGAGGGAUGCGGAAUUCCAGGUGUAGCGGUGAAAUGCGUAGAUAUCAAGAGGAACACCUGAGGUGAAGACGGGUUGCUGGGCUGACACUGACGCUGAGGCGCGAAAGCCAGGGGAGCAAACGGG